This 1092-nucleotide long non-coding RNA is filed under the name Macaca fascicularis (crab-eating macaque). RNAcentral describes it as "lncRNA (ENSMFAG00000046677.2)". The record is from RNAcentral. Lineage: Eukaryota; Metazoa; Chordata; Mammalia; Primates; Cercopithecidae.
UGCAAUUCUGAAAAUGCUUUUACUGUCUGUUUCAUUCCAGCUUCUGCCAAAAAUACCUAUGGAUCAUGUUUAAUACACUGUGGUAUGUGCUUAAACCUUGACACAAUGGGGAAAACACUGCAACUUAAUAUUGAAUGAGAUGCUAGGCAUUGAAAAUGGUAAGAGGAGAGGAAUUAGACUCCCAUAUGCAAGAGGAAAGGAAUUAGAACAACCUUCAAAGAGAAGAAUGCUGAAGGAUUUGAAAAUAUAUUUUAAAACCACCAAAACAGCGUCACAGAGGAUACAUUUUUGCACUCCAUAGAGAAUGUGACCUACAGGAUCCACUAGCAAAAGACAUCUGACUGUUAGAGGUUAAAGGAACAGUAAAGAUCCAGUUCCACUUUUUAAACCUGCACACGGGAAAUUUGAAACUUACAGAGUUAAUGGUUUUCUCCAAGGUCACAUGAAGACGGAAGUCAAGCCAAGAUAAAAAUCAAGGAAAAACAGUGACAUGGUGGGAGAAGUGUUCCCAAACUCUGAAUGCAAGGUAAUGUAUAUAACAAAUAAGAAGUUUUGAAGAAAUACCUAAGAAUAAAGUGAACAUGAUUUACGUUAUAUCAUAUAAAAUAGUGGGAAUAAAAAAUAACAAAUUAAUUGUUAAAAUAAGAUAAACCAGUGCGAAAGAAUAUAAAGAGACAUCUGUUAGAAAAAUUAAUAAGAUUUAUAUAAAGAAAUAAAACCGUAAAUAACAAUGGAGGUAGAGGGGCCUAUAAACAGAAGAGGGAAAAAAAUGAGUCAUCUUUCAAAAACCCAGGAGAGAUGGAUUAUUCUGUUAUUUUCUCUUGUUUAUUUGAUUCACCCAAAGUGAUACAUUGCGUCUUACAUAAACUCUUUCAAUUUAACUGUGGACUUGAAUUUAUGCUGUAAGUCUCUCAAUUUUAGUUUGUUUGCUUUCUCUCCUUUUCCUUUUUCUUGCUUCAUUAUUCUUCCUGGAAAAGUUUUUGAGUUAAUCAUAUAAUAAUUUACAGCAUUUGGGGGAUAAAUACAAGAUGUUGAAGCUUCUGAGAUAUUUGUCUUGUUUUCUGUUUAUUUUAUACAUGCUAAUAUUACAUA